AAGACCGCAGGCAGCAGGCCUCCAGACCCCACAUUCUCAGGGCGAAGCGAGAACCCUGACCACAGUAUUUCAUGCCUACGUCACACACAUCUGCUCAGGAAGGCUCUCUCUCGCUUCCUCUCUCUCCCUCUGCAGACACCAUGGCAGGGGGCCCGCUUGUCACACUGGGCCCCAGAUGGCUUAGAUCGGAGGCACCCCACCGAAAGCAGCGCCCCACCCUCCUGAAAGCCCCCUUACCAGUCACGACGGGCCACCACCAAGCCAGACCCUGGAGCUGGGCAGACUAGGAGCCACACAAAGCAGGAAAAGUUGCUCUGAUUAAUAUUACGUUAAAUUAAAACUGAUUUUCUGCU
This is a long non-coding RNA of Mesocricetus auratus (golden hamster), 353 nucleotides long. RefSeq lists it as uncharacterized. The record is from RefSeq and is a predicted model, not a curated record. The transcript is spliced from 2 exons. Lineage: Eukaryota; Metazoa; Chordata; Mammalia; Rodentia; Cricetidae.